GACGAACGCUGGCGGCGUGCUUAACACAUGCAAGUCGAACGGAAAGGCCCCUUUGGGGGUACUCGAGUGGCGAACGGGUGAGUAACACGUGAGUAACCUGCCCUUGACUUCGGGAUAACUUCAGGAAACUGGGGCUAAUACCGGAUAGGAAUCCUUGCUGCAUGGUGGGGGUUGGAAAGCUUCGGCGGUUUUGGAUGGACUCGCGGCUUAUCAGCUUGUUGGUGGGGUAGUGGCUUACCAAGGCUUUGACGGGUAGCCGGCCUGAGAGGGCGACCGGCCACAUUGGGACUGAGAUACGGCCCAGACUCCUACGGGAGGCAGCAGUGGGGAAUAUUGCACAAUGGGCGGAAGCCUGAUGCAGCAACGCCGCGUGCGGGAUGACGGCCUUCGGGUUGGAAACCGCGUUCAGCAGGGGCGAAGCUUGUGGUGACGGUACCUGCAGAAGAAGCACCGGCUAACUACGUG
This 465-nucleotide ribosomal RNA is filed under the name uncultured bacterium. RNAcentral describes it as "partial 16S ribosomal RNA". It matches the Rfam family "Bacterial small subunit ribosomal RNA", at positions 28 to 507 of the family's 1533-position model. The record is from RNAcentral.